Molecule: ribosomal RNA, 429 nt
Filed under: uncultured bacterium
Lineage: Bacteria
Description: bacterial SSU rRNA
Rfam family: Bacterial small subunit ribosomal RNA
Source: RNAcentral
UGGGGAAUAUUGGACAAUGGGCGCAAGCCUGAUCCAGCAAUACCGCGUGUGUGAAGAAGGCCUGCGGGUUGUAAAGCACUUUUGGUGGGGAAGAAAAGUUAGGAGUUAAUACCUCCUAACCGUGACACUACCCACAGAAAAAGCACCGGCUAACUCUGUGCCAGCAGCCGCGGUAAUACAGAGGGUGCAAGCGUUAAUCGGAGUUACUGGGCGUAAAGGGCGCGUAGGCGGUCCUAUAGGUGAGAUGUGAAAUCCCCGGGCUUAACCUGGGAACUGCAUCUUAAACGGUAGGGCUGGAGUACUGUAGAGGAUAGUGGAAUUUCCGGUGUAGCGGUGAAAUGCGUAGAGAUCGGAAGGAACACCAGUGGCGAAGGCGACUGUCUGGACAGAUACUGACGCUGAGGCGCGAAAGCGUGGGGAGCAAACAGG